This 40-nucleotide ribosomal RNA is filed under the name Rhynchogastrema glucofermentans. RNAcentral describes it as "partial 28S ribosomal RNA". The record is from RNAcentral. Lineage: Eukaryota; Fungi; Basidiomycota; Tremellomycetes; Tremellales; Rhynchogastremaceae.
CUGGCCUCAAAUCAGGUAGGGCUACCCGCUGAACUUAAGC